RNAcentral lists this ribosomal RNA (253 nucleotides) under uncultured bacterium. RNAcentral's name for it is "partial 16S ribosomal RNA". It matches the Rfam family "Bacterial small subunit ribosomal RNA", at positions 524 to 776 of the family's 1533-position model. The record is from RNAcentral.
UACGUAGGGGGCUAGCGUUGUCCGGAUUUAUUGGGCGUAAAGAGCGUGUAGGCGGCCAUACAGGUCAGCUGUGAAAACUCGAGGCUCAACCUCGAGACGUCGGUUGAAACCGUUUGGCUAGAGUCCGGAAGAGGAGAGUGGAAUUCCCGGUGUAGCGGUGAAAUGCGCAGAUAUCGGGAAGAACACCCGUGGCGAAGGCGGCUCUCUGGGACGGUACUGACGCUGAGACGCGAAAGCGUGGGGAGCGAACAGG